CAUUCCGAGCUCAAAAUAUUCGGUUCGUUGAAAAUAAUUAAAAAUAUUACGAGGUUUAGUGUGUAACAAAAAAAUUGUUUUAUUCUAAGAACGAAAUGAAAGCACACUGUGUUAAUACGUUUAGAAAUUGCUCAGUAGUUCAUGAUCUAUCAACGAGUAAAGAUUACAGUACAAUAUUAUACAAAUUCUGAAAAAAAGCAAAUUCUUGAACUGAAACAGCAACAGUUAUCAGU
Molecule: unclassified non-coding RNA, 233 nt
Filed under: Bombus terrestris (buff-tailed bumblebee)
Lineage: Eukaryota; Metazoa; Arthropoda; Insecta; Hymenoptera; Apidae
Description: misc RNA ENSBTSG00005034295.1
Source: RNAcentral